Molecule: non-coding RNA, 96 nt
Organism: Cerioporus squamosus
Lineage: Eukaryota; Fungi; Basidiomycota; Agaricomycetes; Polyporales; Polyporaceae
Source: the annotation of a GenBank genome assembly
GGUUCGAUGGUGUAGUUGGUUAUCACGUCCGUCUCACAGGCUUGAAUGGUUUCAACCGUACACGGGAGGUCUCCGGUUCGAACCCGGGUCGAACCA